AUACGAAGGGGGCAAGCGUUGUUCGGGAUAACUGGGCGUAAAGCGCACGUAGGCGGAAUGUUAAGUUAGAGGUGAAAUCCCAGGGCUCAACCCUGGAACUGCCUUUAAUACUGGCAAUCUAGAGACCGAGAGAGGUGAGUGGAAUUCCGAGUGUAGAGGUGAAAUUCGUAGAUAUUCGGAGGAACACCAGUGGCGAAGGCGGCUCACUGGCUCGGUACUGACGCUGAGGUGCGAAAGCGUGGGGAGCAAACAGGAUUAGAAACCCCGGUAGUCC
This 274-nucleotide ribosomal RNA is filed under the name uncultured bacterium. RNAcentral describes it as "partial 16S ribosomal RNA". It matches the Rfam family "Bacterial small subunit ribosomal RNA", at positions 523 to 796 of the family's 1533-position model. The record is from RNAcentral.